UCAUUUAUAUUUUAAAAUAUUUAUAUUAUACUAGAUAUAAUUUACUUCUAUAAUAUUACUAUCCAGGUUUAACAGUCUAUGCCUACAACAUAGAUCUCCAGGACUAAAAGUGCACAAAAUGGCAAUCAGUAUAUCACAAGUGUUAUAACACAUGCAUCUAAUCUGCUUCAGUGGCGAGAACUGGGUGAAUCCUCUCAAACAUUAAUCAGGAACUAGGCAUACCUAAUGAGCGUCAAGCUGAUACAGUAGAUGUACAUAAGAAUUUUUACACAAGGAAUUGAAAAGUGAUGUAAAAGGCAACUAAUACUUCCAUCUACCAUAGUUAAACAAGAAUCUGAAAAUGGUGAUAAUUGCAAUAAUCUUGAUAUAUUAAUGUUUGGCUUUAUAAUUAUAUGCAAUUGUCAGGUUUCAUAAAUAAAUUAUUUCUCAAAAUUUGA
Physella acuta is the source of this 437-nucleotide long non-coding RNA. RefSeq lists it as uncharacterized. The record is from RefSeq and is a predicted model, not a curated record. Lineage: Eukaryota; Metazoa; Mollusca; Gastropoda; Physidae.